UAUAAAGUGGCGAACGGCUGAGUAACACGUGGGCAACCUGCCCUUUGCACUGGGAUAGCCUCGGGAAACCGAGGUUAAUACCGGAUACUCCAUAUUUGUCGCAUGACGAAUAUGGGAAAGCUCCGGCGGCAAAGGAUGGGCCCGCGGCCUGUUAGCUAGUUGGUGGGGUAGUGGCCUACCAAGGCAAUGAUGGGUAGCCGGGUUGAGAGACCGACCGGCCAGAUUGGGACUGAGACACGGCCCAGACUCCUACGGGAGGCAGCAGGC
This 267-nucleotide ribosomal RNA is filed under the name uncultured Atopobium sp. Its description in RNAcentral is "partial 16S ribosomal RNA". It matches the Rfam family "Bacterial small subunit ribosomal RNA", at positions 89 to 354 of the family's 1533-position model. The record is from RNAcentral. Lineage: Bacteria; Bacillati; Actinomycetota; Coriobacteriia; Coriobacteriales; Atopobiaceae.